RNAcentral lists this long non-coding RNA (2308 nucleotides) under Homo sapiens (human). RNAcentral's name for it is "HSALNT0112242". The record is from RNAcentral. Lineage: Eukaryota; Metazoa; Chordata; Mammalia; Primates; Hominidae.
CAGAGCUCUGUCAAGACAGGAACCUCUUAUGCCGGAUUCCUGAUGUAGCCCAGUGUUGAGCACAUAUUUGGUUUUUCAGUGUGAGACCAAGAAAGCUAUUGAUGCGAAACUGCUCUUUGGUGACAUCGUGCUUCAACAAGUCAUCCCCAGUGCAACCCAGGAUGAUGGCCAUUUGCACUUCCUUUUUAGGCAUCUGACAUCAGCUUCAAGAAGUCUCUCCCCAUAUGUAAGUUUCAAGUGUUGCCUGUAGACAGGUUUUAAUAAAGGAAGUCAGCAGUUACAAUGUAUGUGUAUACUUUACACUCCUUUUCCAACAUACCCACUUCAAGCCUAACUCUAGACCUUGGAUUUCUCCCUCCCUCUGUGUCCUAAAGCAUAGAAAAAAAAAAAAAAGCAUUCAUCUUUGUUAUGUAUCAGAAGGUUCGUUGCCCUUGUCUACCAGUUUCCUUUUCAUUCAAUAAAUAAUUGUGUGUUCUGAUAUUUGCCUUAAAUUUCCUGGUUUUUGGGAAUGUUUCAUUGUUAAGGGUUUCCCUUCACUUCCGAGGCAAAUGAGCUUACCUUAGUCCAUUAAGAUUGUCAUUUUGUCUAAGGACCAUGGGCAAAGUCUGACAGGUAGUGUUUCAGUCUUAUCUCUGUCUGAUCAGAAGAGGAAGUCUUGCUAGUCCCUCUUUAGUCUGAAACUGAUUAUUGUCCUCACAACUACACAAAAGGAGCUGCAGUUCUUUCCACACCUGAAGGCAUUUGAAGUGCAAUCUGCAUGGUACUUACAAACUCUGCUAAAAGGAACGGUUGACUAUUUUCCUAAUCUGCCUGUUUGCAUUCAUAGGCAUUAAGAAUGCACAGUAAACAAGCUAAAGUGCAGACGCUUUCACAGGUUUCUGUUGGACAAUAACAACCACCGGUAACGAAGAGGACAAGAAUCUGUUUACAAAUGUGUAUUUCAUCAGGCAACACCUGCUCUAAAAUGGCCAGAGCCUGCCAUUUCCACAAAUGUGGACUAAAAUGAACAUACCUGAAAAAAAGAUUUUUCACCUUCUAAUAUAAAAUAUUCUGUCUUCAUUUCAAAGGUGUAAUGUAUAGUAUACAAUAAGGUGGUAAUAAUCUUAAAGUGACCGAUGGUUAGAGAAAUUGGUUAACGGACUUCUAUUGGAUUUAUAAAAGGGAAAGAGUUUUGCCUCUCUCUGAUGCUUAGUUGGUGUUUCCAAUUGAAAUUUGAGAUGAAUUAGAGUUGAAUGAAUUUCCCUUCAGCACUAUGAUUUUAUUAUUGUACACAUUUCUGUUUUAGAUAUGUUUAAAUAUAAACAUUAAAUAUAAACAUAGUUCUGUUUAAAUAUAAAAAUUUGUGGAAUCCUUAAUUAGAAUCUCAGUAGAUAAAGCCUGAGAAUCAAUGUUUAUAUCAUGCUGCACAGGUGACUGUGAUUCAUAGCUUCUGAACACUCCAACAUUCAUCACUGGUUUUGUGCCACACCCUUGAUGGUUUGAGAUGGUUAAGUGCUUGAAAGAAAGAUGUUCUGCUAUUCACUGAACAUAUAUUGGAAGCUUUUAGAGUCCAGGUAAAUUUUUUAAAAGUUGAAAUUUUGUAAUGGAAACAAAUUAGCCUGAAUUAUAUCUUUGUUAUAGAAGCAGUUACAGAAUGGACCAAACAUUUUCUAAGGAAUAUUUCUUUAGGGAUUUCCUCAAAUAUUUAAGCAAACAUUCCAAAGUUAUGUACCAGAAAGCAUAUAACAAUUUACCUUGGCCUGGAAAACCUUUAUGGCUAUGGUAACCAAUCAUGUAACUCCAAUAUAAAAAGCUUUGAUAAGGUUCCUAUAAACAGCUUAAAUUUUGUGUAGGAAUAUGCUUAAAAGAUGAAAUAGCAUGUUGAAUAAAGUUGUUUAGAAUUGUCAUACAAAUACUAAAUUAUAUCUUCUUAAAACAAUUAUUUAGAUUUUAUAGUUUUUACAUUAAAAUCUUACUUCUAAAAUAAAUUAAUAAAAGAAAUAAUCUAUCAUGUUCAGUUUCCUCUUCAGGGCUCUUUAUAAUAUUGUCACACUGACAGGUUAGAGGAAGAUUUAUAUCUCUGGUGUGUUAAUGGCUGGAGGACUUUUAUUCAAUACUUCUCAUUGACUUAUUCAUAAGUUCAACAAAAAUGUGUUGUGAACCUUCUAUGUGCCAAACUGUUAAAUGUUCUGGGAUUGCAGUAAGUAAAUACAACCAAUAUCACCUGUGCUUCCCUUAGUGCGCUGGAAGAAUUGAAUAUAUCUGACUUGGAUUUUCAGAUUCUAGGAUCAAAGGUUGUUUUCUCAAAAGUUUAUUUAUAUUAAUUUCU